AGAGUUUGAUCCUGGCUCAGGAUGAACGCUAGCUGGAGGCUUAAUACAUGCAAGUCGAGCGGGAUUGGCGCAGCAAUGCGCCAUGAGAGCGGCGCACGGGUGAGUAACGCGUACACGACCUACCUCUAACAGGGGGAUAGCCCUGGGAAACUGGGAUUAAUACCGCAUAUAAUUCUUGAUUUAAAGGUUGAGAAUGAAAGUUGAGGCGGUUAGAGAUGGGUGUGCGUCUGAUUAGCUAGUUGGUAAGGUAACGGCUUACCAAGGCGAUGAUCAGUAGGGGGCGUGAGAGCGUGGUCCCCCACACGGGUACUGAGACACGGACCCGACUCCUACGGGAGGCAGCAGUAAGGAAUAUUGGUCAAUGGGCGAAAGCCUGAACCAGCCAUCCAGCGUGCAGGAAGAAGGCCCUAUGGGUUGUAAACUGCUUUUGUCAGGGAAGAAACCUUUGGAUUUACUCCGAAGCUGACGGUACCUGAAGAAUAAGCACCGGCUAACUCCGUGCCAGCAGCCGCGGUAAUACGGAGGGUGCGAGCGUUAUCCGGAAUUACUGGGUUUAAAGGGUGCGUAGGCGGCCAGGUAAGUCAGGAGUGAAAGUUUGCGGCUCAACCGUAAAAUUGCUUUUGAUACUGCCAGGCUAGAAUUAGGAUGAGGUCAGCGGAAUGUGGCAUGUAGCGGUGAAAUGCAUAGAUAUGCCAUAGAACACCAAUUGCGAAGGCAGCUGGCUAGACCUGGAUUGACGCUGAGGCACGAAAGCGUGGGGAGCGAACAGGAUUAGAUACCCUGGUAGUCG
Molecule: ribosomal RNA, 790 nt
Filed under: uncultured bacterium
Lineage: Bacteria
Description: bacterial SSU rRNA
Rfam family: Bacterial small subunit ribosomal RNA
Source: RNAcentral